GUCCUACGGGAGGCAGCAGUAAGGAAUAUUGCUCAAUGGGGGAAACCCUGAAGCAGCAACGCCGUGUGAGGGAUGAAGGGCUUUUGCUUGUAAACCUCUGUAGUGAGGGAAAAAACUUCCGCUCUGCGGAAUAUGAUGGUACCUCAAAAGUAAGCCCCGGCUAACUACGUGC
RNAcentral lists this ribosomal RNA (172 nucleotides) under uncultured bacterium. Its description in RNAcentral is "partial 16S ribosomal RNA". It matches the Rfam family "Bacterial small subunit ribosomal RNA", at positions 335 to 508 of the family's 1533-position model. The record is from RNAcentral.